GAUCCCGUAGCUCAGUUCGGUAGAGCGUCUGACUUUUAAUCAGUAGGUCGCGCGUUCGAUUCGCGCCGGGAUCA
This 74-nucleotide transfer RNA is filed under the name Ehrlichia japonica. RNAcentral describes it as "tRNA-Lys (TTT) (tRNA-Lys-TTT-1-1)". It matches the Rfam family "tRNA". Rfam says of the family: Transfer RNA (tRNA) molecules are approximately 80 nucleotides in length. Their secondary structure includes four short double-helical elements and three loops (D, anti-codon, and T loops). RNAcentral also lists the same sequence under 4 other names. Lineage: Bacteria; Pseudomonadati; Pseudomonadota; Alphaproteobacteria; Rickettsiales; Anaplasmataceae. The record is from RNAcentral.